Melanaphis sacchari is the source of this 380-nucleotide long non-coding RNA. RefSeq lists it as uncharacterized. The record is from RefSeq and is a predicted model, not a curated record. The transcript has 3 exons. NCBI's taxonomy places the organism in Eukaryota, Metazoa, Arthropoda, Insecta, Hemiptera, Aphididae.
GUGAGCGUGUGCGCGGGAAAUUGGUCAUUUUUUCCCGAAAGCAGUGCUCGAGGCAAGUGAACGACAGAAGAAAACACGAGCGUGUGUGUUUUUAAGUGGGUGGGUGGAUGAGCUGAAGUGAAAACAGAAACCGACUCAAAAAAAUAACCGAAUACCUAUAUUAUUAUACGUUGCGUACCACGGAUUAAAGAACGCAGUCUGGAUGUAUAUCAAAAUAUAUACAGCAAUACAAUACUUUUGGUGCUCGGGGCGAUAACGAUAGCGUACACGCGACAGUGUCGAAUUGCCUUGGUAAUUCUUAUCUGACAAACAAAAAUCCUGAAAGUGUGAUACAGUGGAGGAGGAAGACAAAUAAUUGACUUUUAGCAGUGACAUUUUAC